UGGGGAAUAUUGCACAAUGGGCGAAAGCCUGAUGCAGCGACGCCGCGUGAGGGAUGACGGCCUUCGGGUUGUAAACCUCUUUCAGCAGGGAAGAAGCGAAAGUGACGGUACCUGCAGAAGAAGCGCCGGCUAACUACGUGCCAGCAGCCGCGGUAAUACGUAGGGCGCAAGCGUUGUCCGGAAUUAUUGGGCGUAAAGAGCUCGUAGGCGGCUUGUCACGUCGAUUGUGAAAGCCCGAGGCUUAACCUCGGGUCUGCAGUCGAUACGGGCUAGCUAGAGUGUGGUAGGGGAGAUCGGAAUUCCUGGUGUAGCGGUGAAAUGCGCAGAUAUCAGGAGGAACACCGGUGGCGAAGGCGGAUCUCUGGGCCAUUACUGACGCUGAGGAGCGAAAGCGUGGGGAGCGAACAGG
Molecule: ribosomal RNA, 409 nt
Filed under: Brucella melitensis
Lineage: Bacteria; Pseudomonadati; Pseudomonadota; Alphaproteobacteria; Hyphomicrobiales; Brucellaceae
Also listed under: 3 other names
Description: partial 16S ribosomal RNA
Rfam family: Bacterial small subunit ribosomal RNA
Source: RNAcentral